Long non-coding RNA from Rhea pennata, 1662 nucleotides. RefSeq lists it as uncharacterized. The transcript has 2 exons. Lineage: Eukaryota; Metazoa; Chordata; Aves; Rheiformes; Rheidae. The record is from RefSeq and is a predicted model, not a curated record.
UUUACCUGCUGGGGCUGCUGUCUCCAUCCAGCCUAUCACCCGGCCACUGUUGAGCAAGACUCGAUGGCCCCGUGUCCCUCCUUGAGAGGAGGUUGCCGUUACCACUGGGAGCUCCUUCUCCAGCACACCCUGAACCUCAGGUGGCUCCCAGGACUAGCCAGGUAAGGCUUGCGAGGAGCCACCGUUCCACUGGCGCUCGCUGGAAGAGCAGCUGCUCACAGCCGCGAUUAUCAGGCACAGCUCAACGUCUCCCUUGAGGCACCCAAAAAUUGAGACACGAUACAUCCAAGCUGGUGGCUUUUCACUUGGUCGGUGAAAUCAUUUAUUAGCAUUUUCUGUGCAAGUGUGAAACAGUCCCUUGGGUUAGAAAGGGGUUGCAACGAGGUGUGAGGCUCAUAUAUGCCAGACGACAUGCACGUUUUCUACCCACCGCCUCCGUCCCGCUCCCAGGGUCUGAGCACUCUCCCACGAAUACGCAGCCCAGCGCCGGGCCAGGCAGCGCUUUCGGCAGCAGCUCUGAAGCAGCACGACGAAACGCCUCGAAUACAUAGCGCUGCAAUGCGUUUUGGCGGCCCAGCGGUGAUUCCCCUCUGACGCCUCGAGCUCAGGGCUCAAAGGGGCAUCCUGCAGCAGCCCCACACGAAAGCCCGGGCGGGAACUGCUCCGUUUCCAGAGACGUUACUCCGAUGGUGCACGCGAGGAGGGAGAGCUUCAGGCAGCGCAAGGUGAAUUUUAUGGGUCAUGAGGCAGAACUGGCCUAGCUCCUCCCUGCCAAACUAGGGGUGAAGUAUAAACAAAUAAGCAAGUAAAUAAACACGUCCUCUGUCAUGCAGCAGCUGAAAGGCACUGUGGACAAAAACAAAGAUCCAGUAGGAAAAAGCUGAUGCAAAAGCCUGGAUGAGGAGGUCCUUUAAUGUUUGAUUUUAGCAUAGAAUCUCUUGUCCAAAUAGCGGAGCUCUGUGUAAGGCCUGAAUAUAUUUGCCGUGCAUAGGAGCUCUGUUUGCAGUGGGAGGAGAGAGUCUCAUCUUGUAUAGCCUGGAGUAGGAGCACAGUCAUUGCUGCAGUUCAUAGCCUGAUACAUCCUCCUGCCUCCCCGCGCAGACAGAUUAUCUCUUGGAUUCAUGCGUGACCUCUCAAGGUAUUCUCUUUUUGCCACUUAGGGUUUUCCCCGACCCUCUCUCAGGAGGGGAGUGGGAGUUUUCCCCUCUGUGAAUUAAAUUAAUAAGAAAAGCAUCAAGGGAAAUUGGCUAUUCUUUGGCUGAUUACCUUUAGUUCUCCUACUAGCCAUGUUGGGGUUCAGCUUUACUGCAAGAAUGCACAAUAAUCUAAUUAAUAUGCUUAUUGUAGCAUAAUAGCAUCUAAAGGCAUAUUUCAGCUUGUCGCAGCAUGCACUUCUAAUUUUUUUUUUUACUUUGCAGUAACAUUAAAACAGUCAGACUUUCAGCCCUGCAAACUGUGGAUAAUGAAUUUCUUUCAUUCCAAACAAUUUACUCCCCUGUGUAUUAAAACACUUCGCCAGAUCAGUUGUAUUUGUACCAAUGCAUGCUCUGACGUGCACAGCAGUGGAAAAACUGAGCAAUUGGAGAAUAGUAAUGAUUAUUUUCUUGGUAAAUGUUUUUCCUUAAAAUGAUAGAAAUAAAGUCACAUAUUUCUCUGUCAGAA